Molecule: microRNA precursor, 97 nt
Filed under: Pelodiscus sinensis (Chinese soft-shelled turtle)
Lineage: Eukaryota; Metazoa; Chordata; Testudines; Trionychidae
Description: miRNA (ENSPSIG00000020021.1)
Source: RNAcentral
GAUGGAGAAGCAGUGCACGUGCUUCCUGAGAUCCCAGAUCUGGUGCACAGCUGCAGGAUCACCAGGUAUCAGCUGAGCUGUCCCUGUCUCCUCCCCC